Molecule: transfer RNA, 90 nt
Filed under: Alphaproteobacteria bacterium
Lineage: Bacteria; Pseudomonadati; Pseudomonadota; Alphaproteobacteria
Description: tRNA-Ser
Rfam family: tRNA
About the family: Transfer RNA (tRNA) molecules are approximately 80 nucleotides in length. Their secondary structure includes four short double-helical elements and three loops (D, anti-codon, and T loops). Further hydrogen bonds mediate the characteristic L-shaped molecular structure. tRNAs have two regions of fundamental functional importance: the anti-codon, which is responsible for specific mRNA codon recognition, and the 3' end, to which the tRNAs corresponding amino acid is attached (by aminoacyl-tRNA synthetases). tRNAs cope with the degeneracy of the genetic code in two manners: having more than one tRNA (with a specific anti-codon) for a particular amino acid; and 'wobble' base-pairing, i.e. permitting non-standard base-pairing at the 3rd anti-codon position.
Source: RNAcentral
GGAGGGGUGGCAGAGUGGUCGAAUGCACCGGUCUUGAAAACCGGCGUGGGUGCAAGCCCACCGUGGGUUCGAAUCCCACCCCCUCCGCCA